RNAcentral lists this transfer RNA (74 nucleotides) under Neobacillus niacini. RNAcentral's name for it is "tRNA-Arg". It matches the Rfam family "tRNA". From Rfam's summary of the family: Transfer RNA (tRNA) molecules are approximately 80 nucleotides in length. Their secondary structure includes four short double-helical elements and three loops (D, anti-codon, and T loops). The record is from RNAcentral. Lineage: Bacteria; Bacillati; Bacillota; Bacilli; Caryophanales; Bacillaceae.
GGGCCUAUAGCUCAGCUGGAUAGAGCAUACGCCUUCUAAGCGUACGGUCAGAGGUUCGAAUCCUCUAAGGCGCG